UUCGGAUUGUAGUCUGCAACCGACUACAUGAAGCUGGAAUCGCUAGUAAUCGCGGAUCAGAAUGCCGCGGUGAAUACGUUCCCGGGUCUUGUACACACCGCCCGUCACACCAUGGGAGUCGGAAAUGCCCGAAGUCUGUGACCCAACCUUAGGGAGGGAGCAGCCGAAGGCAGGUCGGAUGACUGGGGUGAAGUCGUAACAAGGUAAC
RNAcentral lists this ribosomal RNA (208 nucleotides) under uncultured bacterium. RNAcentral's name for it is "partial 16S ribosomal RNA". It matches the Rfam family "Bacterial small subunit ribosomal RNA", at positions 1292 to 1500 of the family's 1533-position model. The record is from RNAcentral.